GAUAAUGAAGUAAAAUAUUACAUUUAGUUUCGACCUAAAAUUAGAUAUAUAAAUAGUUAUAUCCUUAUCU
This 70-nucleotide transfer RNA is filed under the name Caystrus obscurus. RNAcentral's name for it is "tRNA-Arg". Lineage: Eukaryota; Metazoa; Arthropoda; Insecta; Hemiptera; Pentatomidae. The record is from RNAcentral.